Molecule: long non-coding RNA, 5083 nt
Organism: Taeniopygia guttata (zebra finch)
Lineage: Eukaryota; Metazoa; Chordata; Aves; Passeriformes; Estrildidae
Source: Ensembl
UUUUUUUUUUUUUUUUUUUUUUUCCCUCUCCCCAAGAAAAUUUCACUUACAUGCUAUAUGGCAGUUUCAUUUUUCAAAUUUCACAUUAUUGAGCAAUACUGUGUCUAGCUUUUCUGCAGAUUAAAAAUAGGUAGUGGGGCUUUCCAGUAGAAAUCAUGAAACUGCUGAACUUUCUGACUUUCAGCUGAAUUUUCUAUCCCAGCUCAGACAGGGACACAGAUAGGCAAGAGCCACAUCACUGAGCUGCAUUUCUCCUGCUGCGGAAGAGGCACACAGAAAGGGAGCAAGGAGCAGGACAUGGAGCUCUGAACAACCUACAGCAUGACAAUCUUGUCUUCCAGUUUUCCCUCAAAUCCAUCCAGUGUGUCAACCUGAGCUGUCAUGUAAUUACUCUUAAUGCACUGAUUUAUAUAAGGUGUGGGCCAAGCGUUUAACAUGAGUUUUUUGGAAACAGGUGUUUGUGGCUUAAGCCACAAAUCUCAGAUUCUGUGCAGCAGGGUGUAUUUGGCCAGUGCUUCAUGUGUAAAGAAUUUGGGCACAGGCAAUAUAUAAAUUGGCCACAAGUGUCUUCAUUUUCAACUGUUGCUAGUUGCAGAGAGAUCUUUACAUCAGAGGAUCUUUUAUGUAUGGGCUGGCUUGGUUCUUGUGAAUCAAAAAGAAAAUUGCUGUGAACCUUUCUCUUUGUGUUGUAAACUUCUGUAGAUUUAACUUGUUAUCUAAUGCAAUUUUCUUGGCAUCAGAAGCAGCUUCGUGGGUAAUUAACUUUUCUUUCAUGCUUACAAAUAAUUUUAUAACACCCAGUUGAAUUAAGAUGCAGCAGAAAGUUGGAUACAGGCAAAGUGAAGCAGUCCUAGUGUUUCUGCCUGCGUGUCUGUGUUUUAGUUCUCUUCAUGAAGUGCAAACUGACAUUGUUUUCUGAAAGGUUUACAAAGUGUAACUAACAGCAGUGAGAUGCUCUUUCUACCAUGUAUAGUCAUGGAAAAUCAGCACAAGACCUUAACUUGGCUUAAGAGAAUAAGUAACCUGUUGUCUGAGGAAGGCUGGGAACUAAAUGUUAUCAUGCAAAGCAGUUUUUGUGCUGUGAAAGCCUGCCAUAAUUUUUUUUCUGUUAACUUCCUAUAUCUUCAGAAUUCUUUUUUUACUCUGUUUAGCAAGAGGGGAAAAUAAAUAUGAAAACGGUCUGUUUGCAAAUCUGCAAACACUUCUUCCUAAGUAUGUAUAAAAAAAGGAAACACUUGACCUAAUUUUUAAGUAGUUUUAAAAAACUUGGCUAAAUGCCAGUAAUUCUUGCUGUGUGUUCACUAUAUCAAAAUGUCAUACAGAUCAUGUGUGUCGGUUUCAAUGGGGUUUUUUGUAUUUAUCUAUCUUUGCUCUUACAUGUCAAAUUUGUAUCUUAGUACUACAGAAGCAAUCUUGCAAAAAACUGGCUGUAUAGAGAAGAUGCAUGGAAGGAAAAGGAUGGGAGAUCAUGGGGUGUUCUACUGGAAGAAGUAGACACUAAUUUAUUUUACUAUUUCACAUAGAGUGAUUAUUUAUUUGUAAUUUUAAUUUAGCUGAAAAAAACUUAUUCCAAAGCAUAACUUGUCUAAAAUGACAUUUAUUUUUGCUCUCUAAUUAUAAUCUUACUGUCAGUUAUGCCAGAGCUGUGCUUUAAGUGUGGAGGAAAUAUCUUCUUCAUAAAAUAUGAAAUAGCAGUGAUAUGCUGCAACACUUGUCUUAUACUGUGCUUCCUCAAUUGCCUUAUGAUUUUUGAAUGGACACUGUUUGCACACAGCUUUCAUUUUCACUUCAAAUCUUCACAGGGAUAACAUGAAAAUUGAAGUAAAUCUGUCUGAUGUUGAGCCAAUGCAAAUAGUUGUUUCAUUAAGGAUUUUUACUCCAUGAUAUCAGUGAGACAUUUACACUAUUUAUGAAAGCUUCCAGUAAUGGGCUAUCUACAACUCCCUUGGCUUACAGGUUUUUCUCAAGCAAUUUGAAAAUUGCCGUGAAUCUUUCCUUUGUGCUGACAUUGAAAUUCUGAUGGAACAUUAUUGAGGUUGUAGCUUUGUUUAACAUAUAAAAAUGCUCCAAAAUGUUCAGCACUGUUGAAUGGUUUUUUUUUUUUUAGCAGUAGUAAAAAGUAGGUUUAAGAAAAUUAAAAAGCAGUAUUUUAAAAAAUUAUGAAAACCAGCAUAUAUCUAGGUUCAGAGAUUUACUGACAAGUGAGAUUAUCCUUUAAAGGUGGCUUGCCUUUAAAAGCUGCAGUUGGAGAUUUUUUUUUUUCCUUUAGAGUUUCAUGUACAAUGAAUUACCUACUGGUAGUCAACUGUAGUUUGCUUCAUGGAAGCCCACUUGUCUCUCCCACAAACUGUUGGGUUUAUUUCAAAUGCUCAAGCAUCAGUUUAAAAAUUGACAGAACUUGCAAUUAGGACCUUGCAGUCUUUGUUGUCCUUGAGCUAAAAUAAGAAUCUGUCCACUUCUUACAGAGGAGUAACAGCUGAGUUCUGUGUUACAAAAUGAAAUUACUAGAGAUUUAAUUAACAUUAUAUAUUUUUGGUCAGCAAAAUUCAGUCAUGUUAUAUUCAAAUGGGACUUUAAAUGUUUUGCUUUCAGUAACUUCAGAAAGUAUUACAAACAAUGAAAAGAAAAUCUUUGUCUUUUGCUUCUUUAUGAAAUGAAAUUUAUUUUGAAGCAGCAGCAUCUUGGUUUUUUUAGCUGAUGGAAAUGCAGAAUACCUUCCCAGCUUUAGAUUACUUCUUUAGCACCCGCAAAGGGAGACCAAACCCAGAAAUUUAAAGCUAUUUAAGGGACAAUUAAAUGCUUUAUUCUCAAAUCUUGCCUUUUGUGAAAACGAGAAUGAAUAUGUAGAACACGUGAUUUAUAAGUUAUCCUGGUCUCAGCUUCUGCACUGGAAGUUUGUUUGGCUCCACUGUGUUAUAACCACCCCUCUUGAUAUGUCACAGCUUUUGGAUGUGUCCUUCUGGGAUGUUACUAUCUUUUCUCAGAAAUGUUUUGUACAUACACAUUAUCCUCUUUAUUAAUUUCAUUUGCUGCCUUGUUGAAUUGUGUAGGAGCCCUUUUUGACUUUUCUCACACUUUAGCUGUUACUGCUGUGUUUGUUAUCCAUGAAGUGUUUUGCUAAGGACAGCUGUGUUGUUUAGGGAUGGGGGUUAUAAUAGACACUUUUCCAUUAUGAUUUUUUUCUUGUGUGAUUUUUUUUUUUUUUUAAUUGCAGAGACUUCCUAUUCUAUGGUACACCAGGGACUGGAAAGAUUCUGGUAGCUUGUGCAGCUGCUAAUGAAUGUAACCAGGGUAACAGGGGAGUAAUCUUCUUUAUGAGAAAUGGUGUCAACUGCCUGAGUGAAUGGGCCUACCAGAUGUGACCUUCAGUUGUUUUCCUGGAUGAGAUCGAUGCUCUUGCUCCCAUACACACCAGCAAACAAGACCAGGUUCACAGGUGGUUCAUGUCUUGUCAUCAAGACAUGUCCCAAGACAUGUCAUCAAGAAGGUGCUUGAUCUUUGUGAAAGGACCACAACUUAUUUAACUUGCUGUGACACCUUCACUGAACCUGAGAAGUAGUAAUUUAGUGCUAGUGAAUUUCAGAUGAUUUUUAAAUAAUUGAAUACAAUUUACUAUACCAGUGAAUGAAAAUCAUAUUUUUCUGUUAGCUCAGUUGUUGGAACACUUCUGGCACUAAUGCAUGGCUUUGCCAGCGGAAAGGCUGUGGUAAUCAGAUCCCAUUCUGGCGGAGCCAUUUCAAGAUGGAGGAUGACACUCAUGGAGGAGCCACCACCAUUGCAAUGGUUGCAUUGCCUUGGUUUUGCGUCCAUUCUUGCUUGCAUGCUCAAACUCUUUGCAGAAAUCAGAAGCAAUUUAAUUGUCCCACACUCCUCAGUGCCUUCUGCUGCACACCCUAUUCCUGCAGCGGUGCCAUACAGGACUUCCUCCUGAGCCCCACCUUUGUGUCUUCCAGGAGCUCACCUGCAAAUUUUCUUUAACUUCUGGAUUUCUCAUUCCCACAAUAUCUUCCAUAAAGAGCUGCACUCAACCCAGCUUUCCCACACCAGCACUCUGUGUCUCUUGGGACUCAGCACCUGCUCCAGGGGGCAAGCCUGGAGUAACAAGGGUGGUCUGAGUUAGGGGGUGUCCCUGCAGCCUCCUCAUGGCUCCAGUCCCAUCCUGUCAUACUCAGGCAGCACUUGAGAGGACACUAGACUGAAACUAGCACUAGAAGCUAGUGGAAAUCAGAUCAAGGUGCUCCAGCCCCAGCUGUCCCUGGACAGGGACAAUUCCUGUCCUCCCUUUCCACAAGAAGAGACAGUGCAUGGUGUUAAAAAGCCAUUAUGGAAUGGUCCUGGAGUGACUGGGAGAGACUGAAGGCAACCAGGGAGACACAAGGUGACACAGGAGCUUCUCCAAGAAUGUUGAUUCCAACCCAGGGACCCCGGAAUCCCAUGCUACAUCCCAACCUACUGCCAUCCCCUCAUAUACACCCCUUUGGGGACCAUACCCUGGCAAGCUCAUCCCAGCACCCUCUGCCUGCUUAGCCAACAUUCCUGAGAAUUCCUCCCCCCCACUCAACCAGCACUGUUCUACCAGUGUGUCCCUGCAUUAAUCAGUAAAUGCUGGACUGAUGCCAGAGGAAUGUGUGUUUCCUGGGUGUCCCAAGCACUGGCUAUGUAUCCCUUGGUAUCAAAUCCAGUCAGAACACACCCACAUCUUGAUGGGUUUGUGUCUCCUAUGGAUCUGCAUGUCCAAAACUAAAACAAAUUUUCAGGAAUAGAAGGACUGAUGAAUGAGAAAUUAAGUAUUUUUUAAAUCAUCUGUCAUUCUGUAAAGUGACAAGAUUUAACCUGUUGAUCAUCUCUUUUUCUUUGCUCUUCUUUCAUUUUUUUUCCCCAUGUUUGUGGUUUUGGCUCUUUUCCAGUUCUCUUCCAUUUCCACUGCUCUGCCGCCUAUGCUGCUGCUGCUCCUUUUUCUUUCUUUUUCUUGCUGCCUUGACUCUCCAGCACUGGCACUGCUACUCUGCCUUCUAGCUUGACUCUCCAAAGGCUGAGGCUACAAUUAUCUGCACACACAAAAUAAAUUAAUUCAGUCACCCUU